This 464-nucleotide ribosomal RNA is filed under the name uncultured Sphingobacteriales bacterium. RNAcentral describes it as "bacterial SSU rRNA". It matches the Rfam family "Bacterial small subunit ribosomal RNA", at positions 916 to 1381 of the family's 1533-position model. Lineage: Bacteria; Pseudomonadati; Bacteroidota; Sphingobacteriia; Sphingobacteriales. The record is from RNAcentral.
ACGGGGCCCGCACAAGCGGUGGAGCAUGUGGUUAAUUCGAUGAUACGCGAGGAACCUUACCUGGGCUUAAAUGGGGAGUGACAGCUGUCGAAAGAUGGUUUUCUUCGGACACUCUUCAAGGUGCUGCAUGGUUGUCGUCAGCUCGUGCCGUGAGGUGUCGGGUUAAGUCCCAUAACGAGCGCAACCCUUACCGUUAGUUACCAUCAGGUUAAGCUGGGGACUCUAGCGGGACUGCCACCGUAAGGCGAGAGGAAGUGGGGAUGACGUCAAAUCAGCACGGCCCUUAUGUCCAGGGCUACACACGUGUUACAAUGGCCAGUACAAAGGGCAGCUACCGGGUGACCGGAUGCUAAUCUCUAAAGCUGGUCUCAGUUCGGAUCGAAGUCUGCAACCCGACUUCGUGAAGCUGGAUUCGCUAGUAAUCGCGCAUCAGCCAUGGCGCGGUGAAUACGUUCCCGGGUCUU